This 192-nucleotide unclassified non-coding RNA is filed under the name uncultured fungus. RNAcentral's name for it is "sequence contains ITS1". The record is from RNAcentral. Lineage: Eukaryota; Fungi.
UUAACUUUUUUUUAAAAAUUCAGAAGACUCUAAAUACAAUAUUUUGUGUUAACCUUCCGGCCAGGCUAUACAGCUAACUAUACAGCCCAAACAGCCGGAAGCAACAGGUAGUUUAGACAAGGGGUUUGAAAUGUAUACUCAAAUGAAUAUAUAUUACUUUUAAUGAUCCUUCCGCAGGUUCACCUACGGAAA